ACCACCUGAUCCCAUCCCGAACUCAGCAGUGAAACAGACCAGCGCCGAUGGUAGUGUGGCUUCUGCCCAUGUGAGAGUAGGUCAUCGUCAGGC
Molecule: non-coding RNA, 93 nt
Organism: Marinobacter sp. HL-58
Lineage: Bacteria; Pseudomonadati; Pseudomonadota; Gammaproteobacteria; Pseudomonadales; Marinobacteraceae
Source: Rfam